UAUUCAAAGUCAGCACUGCUGCUAUAUUGAACCGCGUGAUGCAGGUGAGACGGCCAGAGGCAUUCCACUUGUUACUUUGUAAAUCUUUCUCAAUUCAGCCACUGGCUGCGAUGAAAUGAUAAUAAACCUUCAAUAUGAAAUCUGGUGAUUAAAUAUUACAUUCAGUAAAGUUUUGUUUUUCUAGGCUCGCCGAACAUUUUUGUGGUAUUGUUUACAUUCAAUAUUCAGCAUGAUAGAGUGCAUAUUUUGGUGGGGUUCACUAACUAUUGAGCACAACUAUACAUGACUUGGCAUAUUAUACACUUAGUGUUUUGAAGAACAUAAUUUUCAUUUCUCACUCAGUAUUGCUUCAUGCAAAAAUCAUGUAGUAGUAUGCUGCUUGGCCAAAACUUAUACAUGUACAUGUAUUGUCAUCCAAUAUCCAAGAUUGAAGAUUUCAUUCAUUUUUUAGCUCAUCAGCCCUGAAGGGCCUUAUGCCGUGUUCGAUUUUGUUGCGAGAUGCCGGAUGAGCUCCACAUCAUUGAUGUGCUUGACUGCUAGUGCUAGUUUAAUUGUACAAUGUAGGGACUGAAAUUGCUUCAAAAAUGUUUUGCUGUUUAGGGAUUCACAAUUAAUGCUUAUAUUUAGAAAGAGAAAAGUAAUUUUGUAUAUACUGAAUAGAGUCUUGUAUUUUAUUUUUACUGCAAUGUCAUAUUAAUAGCUUCAUAUUAGAUGCACAAUUUUACAUUUAUGUGUUACUGAAAUGCUGAAUUUUUGGACAAAAAAUUAAAAUUCAUGGACAUUUUAAAAACAUUUUUGAUAGUGAUAUAUUAAUUACACAUUUUGUGCAAAACUUUACACUAAAGUUUGAGACUGGUAUCAUGGAAAACUCAAGAUUAACUGGCUAAUUAUAAAAGGAAAGCCUAAAGUUUUCCUGCAUUUACUGGUGUACUUACAUGAAUUUUGUCUGCAAUAGGAAACAUAGAUGAUGGAGAGGAAAAAUAGAUAAUGGAGUAGAAAUGGUUUCAUCUGUAGCGAUUGUAGAUCUGUAUCAAUGCCAUAGUCUUAGCAUUUGCCCAAGUAAUUUUGAGCUAUAAUUACAGUGCAUGUUGAUGAGAUUGAUUUUGCGAAUGAACUUCUCUGAGUAUCUGUUACUCUGCUGUUAAUCUUGGUACUUGGUAUGACGUUCCUCCAAAAUACUCCAAGAAGAGUUUUAACUGGAGGUGUGCCGUAGAGUGUGGUCUAGUUUUUGUGAAUAAUUGGGUCUUUAGUAAGGGCAUUUUUGGCUGUUCUACAGUUUCUGGCAGAAGGCCAUUCCAUUGGUUAAUAGUUCGGAUGAAGAAGGAAUUGGCAAAUGAGUCUGAGUUCGUGUACCGCUUUUGGAAUUGUCGAGUGUGUCCUCUUCUGCCUCUUGAUGGCUUGAGCUUGAUGAAGUUUUCAUAAUCUAUGUCCAGUUCGCCUUUCAGGAUUUUGUAGAGGCAAGUAAGGCAAUGAAACUUCUUUCAUGGAGUGGGGCCCACUCUAAGUCCUUAAGAAUGGCACUGAUGCUAGUGUCACGUCCGUACGUGUUAGAGACAAAUCUAGCCGCUCUGUUUUGGACUCUCUAUACUAUCUAUAUUCUUCUUUGUGUAGGUAAAGAGAUUUGACUUUGUGGAUGAGUUUCCAGACUGAACAAGAACAUCAAAAUGAUAAUCCAUGAAUGAAGGUCCUUUUCAAGAUGAUUGCCUACAGCAUGCCACAUUCUAGACAGCGGUCAGCCGUCUGUUUUAAGGAAUUUUUUUUUGGUCUCCUUGUACACGGCUUCUCCUCGUACACGGCUCGCCAGUGGCGGACCGUGACCCCGAGGAGACAAAGCAUGGGGGGGGCACAGCAUUUUUCACAAACAAUGCAGUGCCCCCUAAUGCUUUGUGUCCUCCGGGUCACGGUCCGCUACUGCGGCUCGCUAUCGUGCAGCCACCAUUAGGUGACUUACAAUGCAAAAUCCCCCCGUCGGAGCUCUUCAAUUUUUGUCUUUACUGAAUCAAACUUUUGAAAAUUAACACAACCGAAAUGCAAAUUAAUAUUCCCUCUUGGCAUUAAUUGCCAAAAAAUGGGAAAAAAUCAAGUUAAAAGGAACAAAAACAUUAACUUACCUCAGCUGUUGCGCAAAUUCACUUUCUGUUUUAUCCGAACUUAUAAUACAUAAACAUAUGGCCAUCGAGUCCCCUGUACAGAUCGUGCUAGAAGUUCAAUCUCUGUAUUUGGUGAGUGAAGCCAACAGAGUUCAGCUGAACAACCAACAUAACAGAGACCAAAGCUUUUGGUCUAGCCACAGUCAUACUCCUCUAUUUUAUCUUAUAAACCAGGAGUUGGUUUUGUGAAAGACUCACUAAGAAUGUGGACAUCACACUGAUGUUUGCCAAUUCUGUAACACAGUUCUGUCAUGACUUAUAAUGAUUUUGAACGUAACGUUUUUGAACAAUUUCAUAAUGGAAAGUAAAUAGAAAAUCAUAUUCAGGAACUACAAGUGUACCUAGUUGACAACAUACUGUAUGAAAUGGUAGCCUGUUACACAACGGUUUAUUAUCAAUUUCUAAAUUGCAGUGGGCAAUCAAAAGUUAUUGCAUGUGCAUAUUGUAAAACAUACAAGCUUUCACCCAAUCAGAAUCAGCGUUUGAAAUUUGCUGUUAAUUGCAAAUCUGUGUGUAGUGUGGCCCAUGUGUGUAUUGAAUGUAAUAGUUCACUGCAUAUGUAGGUUAUGUUAUGUCUUUAGCCAGUGUGAUUAAGCAGCUCAGGAUUUGUGGUUGAUAUAUCGGUCAUAAACAAAAUUCUUUUAAAAUCUUAAACAAUCUAGUUUAGAUCUUGGUCAUGUUUAACAGUUAAUCUUUCCGACUUUGGAAGUAGUGGAGGCAGCGAUUGUGUCUGUGUGCAGUUUUGGACCUUUCUAUGUAUUAAUCUUGCUUUCAAACUGUAUUACAUGAGGAUGAGUGUAUUAUAUGUAUUAAAAUGAUUAAAAGAGUUGUCCAUAUACACAGAGUUAAAUCUAAUAACACAAUUAUUCACUCUUGUUAUGUUUUGUUCGAGCUUAAUGUGUAUUAUGAUGUUUCAAUAUUAAUUUUAAAAAUGUUAAUGCUUUAGAUUUCAGUGAUUUUAAGUUUGCUUUUAGAUUCUUUGAAAUCAGUUCCUUAUGUGUAUGUGUCAACCUUGUCCAUGGAGCUUGUUACUAAUUUUGAAAUUUCUGGCACAUUUCAGAUUGACAGCUUACAUGCCACAUGUAGUGAUGUAUAUAAAAGCUCUGUUAAAAAAAUCACAUAAAAUGUCUAAAAUAUGCUCCAAGGGUAUGUAAUAAAUGCCAAUCUGUUGAA
This is a long non-coding RNA of Lytechinus variegatus (green sea urchin), 3323 nucleotides long. RefSeq lists it as uncharacterized. The transcript is spliced from 2 exons. The record is from RefSeq and is a predicted model, not a curated record. Lineage: Eukaryota; Metazoa; Echinodermata; Echinoidea; Temnopleuroida; Toxopneustidae.